RNAcentral lists this ribosomal RNA (838 nucleotides) under uncultured bacterium. Its description in RNAcentral is "bacterial SSU rRNA". It matches the Rfam family "Bacterial small subunit ribosomal RNA", at positions 555 to 1385 of the family's 1533-position model. The record is from RNAcentral.
UGGGCGUAAANNAGCUCGUAGGCGGUUUGUCGCGUCUGCCGUGAAAGUCCGGGGCUCAACUCCGGAUCUGCGGUGGGUACGGGCAGACUAGAGUGAUGUAGGGGAGACUGGAAUUCCUGGUGUAGCGGUGAAAUGCGCAGAUAUCAGGAGGAACACCGGUGGCGAAGGCGGGUCUCUGGGCAACAACUGACGCUGAGGAGCGAAAGCGUGGGGAGCGAACAGGAUUAGAUACCCUGGUAGUCCACGCCGUAAACGUUGGGCGCUAGGUGUGGGGCUCAUUCCACGAGUUCCGUGCCGCAGCUAACGCAUUAAGCGCCCCGCCUGGGGAGUACGGCCGCAAGGCUAAAACUCAAAGGAAUUGACGGGGGCCCGCACAAGCGGCGGAGCAUGUUGCUUAAUUCGAUGCAACGCGAAGAACCUUACCUAGGCUUGACAUGCACGGAAAUCUCGCAGAGAUGCGGGGUCCGUAAGGGCCGUGCACAGGUGGUGCAUGGUUGUCGUCAGCUCGUGUCGUGAGAUGUUGGGUUAAGUCCCACAACGAGCGCAACCCUCGUUCCAUGUUGCCAGCACGUAAUGGUGGGGACUCAUGGGAGACUGCCGGGGUCAACUCGGAGGAAGGUGGGGAUGACGUCAAAUCAUCAUGCCCCUUAUGUCUAGGGCUGCAAACAUGCUACAAUUGGCCGGUACAAAAGGGCUGCGAUACCGCGAGGUGGAGCGAAUCCAAAAAGCCCGUCCUAGUUCGGAUUGGGGGUCUGCACUUNGUCCUCAUGAAGUUGGAGUCGCUAUUAAUCGCAGAUCACCCACCCCCUGCCGGGGAAUACGUUUCCGGGGCCUUGUA